ACCGGCGAGUUAUGACAGCAUGCGAGGUUAAGCAGAAAAAAGCGGAGCCGUAGAGAAAUCGAGUCUUAAUAGGGCGUCUUAGUAUGUUGUCAUAUACCCGAAACCAUGUGAUCUAUUCAUGAGCAGGCUGAAACUUGGCUAACCCCAAGCGGAGGGCCGAACCGUAGUACGCUGAAAAGUGCCCGGAUGACUUGUGAAUAGUGGAGAAAUUCCAAUCGAACUUGGAGAUAGCUGGUUCUCCUCGAAAUAGCUUUAGGGCUAGCGUGUAGUGUUAAGUAGUGGUGGUAGAGCACUGAAUAUGGAAUGGCCUCGCCUAGGGGUACUGACUAUAAUCAAACUCCGAAUACCGCUAUGUAUUGCUAUGCAGUCGGAACCGGGGUGCUAACGUCCCGGCUCGCGAGGGCAACAACCCAGAUCGCCGGCUAAGGUCCCAAAAUCGUGUUAAGUGAGAAAGGUUGUGAGGUUUCAUAAACAACUAGGAAGUUGGCUCAGAAGCAGCCACCUUUUAAAGAGUGCGUAAUAGCUCACUAGUCAAGAGACCUUGCGCCAACAAUUUAACGGGACUAAAACACGAUACCGAAGCCGCGGGUAAUUAUUUUACGUUAGAGGAGCGUUCCUAGGGCAAUGAAGUCAGACCGUGAGGACUGGUGGAGCGCUAGGAAGUGAGAAUGCCGGU
This 676-nucleotide ribosomal RNA is filed under the name Mycoplasmopsis fermentans. RNAcentral describes it as "bacterial LSU rRNA". It matches the Rfam family "Bacterial large subunit ribosomal RNA", at positions 619 to 1301 of the family's 2925-position model. Lineage: Bacteria; Bacillati; Mycoplasmatota; Mycoplasmoidales; Metamycoplasmataceae. The record is from RNAcentral.